Molecule: ribosomal RNA, 911 nt
Filed under: uncultured Bacteroidota bacterium
Lineage: Bacteria; Pseudomonadati; Bacteroidota
Description: bacterial SSU rRNA
Rfam family: Bacterial small subunit ribosomal RNA
Source: RNAcentral
GGAUCCAGACUUUGAUCCUGGCUCAGGAUGAACGCUAGCUACAGGCUUAACACAUGCAAGUCGAGGGGAAACGACAUCGAAAGCUUGCUUUUGAUGGGCGUCGACCGGCGCACGGGUGAGUAACGCGUAUCCAACCUGCCCAUCACUUGGGGAUAACCUUGCGAAAGUAAGACUAAUACCCAAUGAUAUCUCUAGAAGACAUCUGAAAGAGAUUAAAGAUUUAUCGGUGAUGGAUGGGGAUGCGUCUGAUUAGCUUGUUGGCGGGGUAACGGCCCACCAAGGCGACGAUCAGUAGGGGUUCUGAGAGGAAGGUCCCCCACAUUGGAACUGAGACACGGUCCAAACUCCUACGGGAGGCAGCAGUGAGGAAUAUUGGUCAAUGGACGAGAGUCUGAACCAGCCAAGUAGCGUGCAGGAUGACGGCCCUAUGGGUUGUAAACUGCUUUUAUAAGGGAAUAAAGUGAGAGUCGUGACUCUUUUUGCAUGUACCUUAUGAAUAAGGACCGGCUAAUUCCGUGCCAGCAGCCGCGGUAAUACGGAAGGUCCGGGCGUUAUCCGGAUUUAUUGGGUUUAAAGGGAGCGUAGGCCGGAGAUUAAGCGUGUUGUGAAAUGUAGACGCUCAACGUCUGCACUGCAGCGCGAACUGGUUUCCUUGAGUACGCACAAAGUGGGCGGAAUUCGUGGUGUAGCGGUGAAAUGCUUAGAUAUCACGAAGAACUCCGAUUGCGAAGGCAGCUCACUGGAGCGCAACUGACGCUGAAGCUCGAAAGUGCGGGUAUCGAACAGGAUUAGAUACCCUGGUAGUCCGCACGGUAAACGAUGGAUGCCCGCUGUUGGUCUGAAUAGGUCAGCGGCCAAGCGAAAGCAUUAAGCAACCCACCUGGGGAGUACGCCGGCAACGGUGCAACUCA